Long non-coding RNA from Equus asinus (donkey), 3956 nucleotides. NCBI's taxonomy places the organism in Eukaryota, Metazoa, Chordata, Mammalia, Perissodactyla, Equidae. The record is from Ensembl.
GAUGGGUCCUGUUAUCAGAAGAAAGGUCACAGGCAAAAGCAAUAUGUCCCCUGCAUCCUUAGAAUGCAGAGCUGCUGCUUUUCUCCUACAGCCAUCCACAACACAGCCUCGCGCUUAAAACACACAGGCUUGAAUUCUUGUGGGUGCUGGGUGUACUGAGCGCUCAAGCUGCAGUCCCAGGAUAACCCUCAUUAGUGGAGGAUAAGAAUAGGGCUCUUCUCGGGGAUGCAGCUGGAUCAGAUGGGGGUGGGUGUCAGGAAGGGGGAACCAGCCCGGCCAAAUUGCCAGAACCCCGGGAUUCCUUCCAGGCCAGGAUUAUGGGCAAUUGCAGGCAUGGAACCCUUCCAAUCUAUCCCUCCCAACCCUAGCCAAGAGCCUGUGAUUGAAAGUCUCGUUCGUUCAUUUGGUUCAGGGUGGCAUGGAGAGAGGGACACAGCUAGCCUGUGCGUUGGGACAUCUCAGAUGAGUGCCUUAUGCCUUAUGUGAGGGGACUCCAGAGUCUCAGCUCCCAGUCUCACCUAAUCCACUGCCUGACUCCCAAACCACUCUCUACCUCUUCUGCAUCCUUUCUCCAUACUUGCGGGAACGGGAGUGGGGUGAGGCGGAGUGCCCACAGAGAGGAGGUCUGCCUUAUGUGUUUUUCAGAUAUUUUAUUAAGAAUAAGGCAUAUGACAGUCACCCCUAAAGCACAGGGCUCUAUUUCUGUGGGUGAGUGAAUACACUCUGAAAAGCAUUGGAUUAAAAAGCGCAGCCAACAGAGAAUUUGGAGCAGGAUGCCUCUGCCCUGCUCACGGGGCUCCUGCCAGGGGGUUCUGAAGCCCUGCCUGUCCCCCAUUCAAGGCUGGUGCCUCAGCGAGAGGGCGCUUAGGGAUGCCCCACCCUCCGCACUGAGGACAUGCUGCUCCACACCCUCUCGGUCCCCUUCCUCUCUACCAGGGAGGCCUCUAUUCUGCUGCUUAUUUGGAGAAGGGCUACCCCAUUUCAGCCCUGGACUGGUCCCCUCAACUGCAGGCCACUGUGGGUGGGAUGAGGGGGCAGGGGUUCAGAGCCUCAUGCUGCAUUGCCCCUUGGUCCCUGGCUGGCUUCCAGAACAGGGAGGGUUCCCCACCUGCACUUUCCUUCCUGGUCUGUGCACACUUGGGGUGUGGCUGGAGCUCCGACUAGGGCCCCUGAAUGUCUCUGUCAACACACCCCUGCCCCGCUGGGGUUUCGUGCAGCAGAGAAGAGGGGAGAAGCCAGGAGGAGAAAGAAUCCUUUCCCUUCUAGUUACCCAGACCUUCCAGGAGCUCGUGGGAAGGAGUCUUUCCUUUGGCAGGGUGGGUCCCCCAGGCUAGGGGAUGGGGAGGGCCUCUCCCAACCCUGAGGCUGAGGCCAAGCAGGCCACUGACUCCCAGUCCCAUUCUGCUGCACCAAGUGUUCUGUUCCAAAACCCGGAGCAGGCAGCUGGAGGGGAGUCUCUAGUCCAUUAUUUCCAGGAGACAGAUGGGGAAAGGGAAUUUCUGCUAAAAUUGAGACCCUGUAUCAGCCGCAGCCCCUCCUCCAGCCUGCUAGUGGAGGGGGGAGGAUCGCCUUAUUUCCCUUCCAAGGGGGCCCAAUACCCCUGACAUUCAGUGACUCAGCCGCCCCCGCACUUAGGACUUUCUUUCAUCUCAGGGCUCUCCAAGCACCCCACAGACAAUUAAAUGUCAUUAUCUCUGGUGCUAGAACAGGGACAGGAGUUGGGAGGUGCUGAUGGGGUCACUUGGGGAGAGACAGGCAGGCCACCGGAGGAUCCCUGGGGUGGGGGUGUGGUGGGAGCCCCAGCAGGACACCUUGGGGCCCCAGGAGGGAAGGGGGAAGAGGGCUAUUGCUAUAGAGCCAGGGGGAGGCCAGGGGGGUGUUGCUAUGGCUUUUAGUAGGUGGGUAGGUGGAUCAAGUACUUCACCAUCUCUGUAGAAGAAGCGACGUAACAAAGUCACCCUGUUCACCCCAAAAGUGUGGUUGUGGAAGAUGAAGGUCUGGGGGGUGCCUCCAGAAAGAGACCCUUUCCCUCCUUCCCACAUCCUCUGGGCUCCUUCUGUGAGUGCAGUCAAGAGAGAAGAGAGGCCUCCUCACACAGACCCAUUCUGAAAGGGAGGGCGACAGGACGAGGGGUACAGCAUCACACACACUUGAAGGGGGACACAGAAGGCAGAGGCUCAACCAGAGACUGGGGCAGGGGGUAGAGGCAGGGGCAGGCAGAGCAAGGACCCUGGGCCACUACUGUGGCUCAGGUUAGACUAGAGAGCACUGUCUGUCCCAAGGGUGGCCACACCUUGGCCGUCUGAUCCCAGUGGCUGGACGCCCAGACCAGGCCUGGUUAUUGCUCAGUGGUCUCAGCAGCCCUGAGUGUGGCCAGCUGGGAGGGGCUAUAUGUCGGUGUGAGGCGGCAGUGUGCUCACUGGGUUUGCUUCCUGCUGAUUUCCCCCUCCCUCUAACAUAUAGAGUGAAAGAGGAUAUGAUUCCGGACUUCCCCCCUCUUUUUCACCGCCAGCCGUACGGGAGAAGGGUUCAUCACCCUUAGAGAUUGACUCUGCUCACUGCCCGGAUCCCGGGGUGACACAGAAUGUACGACCUCAGCCAGGGUGGGGACCUGCCAGAAUGCGGUGUUUGUGAGGGAGGUAAAGGCCUCUCCCUACCCCAUGUCCUCCCUCGGCAGCCCCUGGAAGACCUCACAGGCACUUAGGACUCGAUGCAGGACCAACAGAGGAGGAAUGGCGUGGGGCUGGGAGGGCUCUAGCGGUGUGUCUUUCUAGGCUGGGCUUGGGGGGAGGGGCAACCAGCUGGACUGGAACUGCACUGCCUGCCUUCGGUCGGGAGAGGGGAGCAACGCAGCUGGAGGUGGGGGCCUUCCAUUUCCAUCUGGCCAUUCCCCAACCAAGACAGAAGGGCACCAUGCACCCCGUCACCUGAUAGGAUUGGGGGCCUCCCUGGAGGGGGCCAGGCUGAGGACUAACCUGCGCUCUCCCGCCCCAGCAAACUCAAACCUCUAACAACUGCCACUUCCAAGCAGCCGGGUCCUUUUCCCGCCUCUGGGUGCAGCCAGCUAAUUAGGAAGCUGGGCAAAACGAGCACCAAUAAACAGGACUAGGACAACUCCCAGGGCAGCCUUCAGGUUCCCAGCGACCUCCUGAAGGCAGUUGCUGCCCUUCCACAUUCUGGCAGGGCGGCCCGACUCUGGAGCGUUCCCCCUCAUGUCCCCAGCUCAGCUCCUAGUCUAAAUACCUGGUCGGCAUCCCGGGAAAGAACCGAGCUGCAGACAGCUCUACACCAGGUCCUGCCGCCAAAGCCACUCUGUAAUCCUCUCUAAGGGUCUAUGGCUGCUACUUUCCAUAAGUUCAAACUUCCUUCAGGCCACACUUUCUCCACCAGGAGCUCUGCGAGGAGGUUCUUCUAAAGUGUUCGGUGCUCACGCCUAAGGACCUAUCAGCGGCGUAGGGGUAGGAGACGGGGCUUCCGAGGGAAAGGCCCAGCCUCUAGCCCGCCGCCGAGCUUCUCCGCGGAGCAAGGCUCGGCGGGAAGGGCAGGCGUGCGGGGCGCGGGGAGGCCGCAGGGAGGGGCUAGAAGGCCCAAGGGUGCUAAGUGCCACUCUUGUUCCUUUCCGGAGGCCAGCCCAGCGUUCUCCCUCCCGCCAAACGAUUGUCAGCUUUCCCGGGGCAGGGCGUGACACCUGCCCCCUCCCCUCCCAAUGGCUGGGUGGGGAUCGGCACUGCGAGUCCACGCCACAAAAGAAGGUGCAAUCGCUGAGCCCCGCGCAGGAGCUUCCUCGCGGGAGGGGAGAGCUCGAAGCUUCGGAAACAUCGGGAAAUACAAAAGGCGGGGGCGGUGGGACGGGGUUGGGGAGCGGGGGUCGCCUCCGCCCGCCCCCUGGAGGAGGGACCGACUCCCUCGGCCUCGGGGACCUGCCAGCGCGGCCCGAGCUGCGUCCUAGCCGUUGC